UUAUUAUAUUCGGAAUAACCAAUGGUAUUCCAAAUUAAUUUGUGUCUACGGGGGCAUUGUUUGGGUAAAAACCCAACCAGGUCCCUCAUUUUGGUUCUGUCUGGAUGGGCCCUAAAUUACUAAGCCGCCUCUGAAUCUUAGCAGGAUAGGAUUCCCUGACAAUGCAUGGCAGGAACAAAGGGAUUCUCAAGUAGGAAAAAAGGUAAUAUGAAGCUUCCUGUUUUGGAAGGAUGUUUGAGAAACCUGGCUUUUGGUUCAUUCCUAACAGAGAAAGUUGUCAUCCAAUUCUCAAUUUGUUUCUAUCCUAAGAUCAAAGAUCCUUUGAAACUCUAAAAUGCCAACGAUGCAGGGAUUAAAAAGGCAAAUUCUCACAUUGUGGACUCUGUAAAAAUCUUCCUCUUUCAGAAGUAAUUUCCAUGAACAGUGACUAACAAAUCUUUUGUUUUAGCAACCUCCACUUGGAUGUUGGCACCAAAACCACGGAGAUAGGAGGAAGAUGAUUCUUGUAUCACUCUCAUUCCUUCUGGGCGUCUACUUGCGUGAGGAAAAGGCUAGUCAUGGUCAAAAUAUGUCCCCAAAUCAUUUAAGGAAGGUGUGGAAAGUGCUCUGAUCCCUCUUUGACUGCUAUGGCAGCCACCUAUGGAAUCCUGGGAUUGAGACUUUGCUCAGAAGCACCAGAAGAACUCCCUGGCUGAGGACUGUAGAUGUCUGUUAUGGUUUGUAAAGACACUGUAAUGUAUGUGUUUACUGGAAAACUACGUGUAAGAAACUGAUUGGCUGAACCUGCAAAGAGCUGGGAAUUUGAUUUGAUACUUUUUUUGUCAUGCUGCAGGAGAACCAGUUUGAGCAGAUUUACCUCAGAGAGAGAUACAGCUUGGAGACAAAAUGGCUGCCUACUCUCUGAGGCCUUGAUAUUUCUGAGGCUCUGAAGAUUUAUGGACUUUAAAAAGACAGUUCAUGACUAUUGACCUCUGUAAGCAAUCAGAGGAACUAUUGUAAAUAUAUAUAUAUAUAUAUAUAUAUAUAUAUAUAUAUAUAUAUAUAUAUCCCUUUUUAUUUUCAGGGAACAUGUUUCGAAGGAUGUGGAUACCGCCAUCAGAAAAUUUCAAGUAUUUUAAAUAAUCUGAAUUACACAUGUUUGUGUGUAUUGAAUUUAUGUAUAUAAGUAAAUUAUUAGCUAUUUUGUCAAGAUAAAAAAUCUUUGAAAAGAAAAUGAGUAAAGGUUAAUAUGCUUAGUUACAUGUGAACAAAUUGGCUUUGAAUUUUAAAAGAUAUAGAUUAAAUCUAUUUAAGAAAGUUGCUAUGGGGUUAAAUAUAGGGUAAGGUAUAAAGGGAUAUUGUUGACUUCCAAUCUCUGCCACUAGCUGUCUUGUUUACAAAUAAAAUUCUUCUUUUGUUGAA
Anolis carolinensis (green anole) is the source of this 1401-nucleotide long non-coding RNA. RefSeq lists it as uncharacterized. Lineage: Eukaryota; Metazoa; Chordata; Lepidosauria; Squamata; Anolidae. The record is from RefSeq and is a predicted model, not a curated record. The transcript has 2 exons.